GUGAGUGAAGAAGGUUUUCGGAUCGUAAAACUCUGUUGUCAGGGAAGAACAAGUAUGGGAGUAACUGCCCGUACCUUGACGGUACCUGGCCAGAAAGCCACGGCUAACUACGUGCCAGCAGCCGCGGUAAUACGUAGGUGGCAAGCGUUGUCCGGAAUUAUUGGGCGUAAAGCGCGCGCAGGCGGCCUUUUAAGUCUGAUGUGAAAGCCCCCGGCUCAACCGGGGAGGGUCAUUGGAAACUGGAAGGCUUGAGUGCAGAAGAGAAGAGCGGAAUUCCACGUGUAGCGGUGAAAUGCGUAGAGAUGUGGAGGAACACCAGUGGCGAAGGCGGCUCUUUGGUCUGUAACUGACGCUGAGGCGCGAAAGCGUGGGGAGCGAACAGGAUUAGAUACCCUGGUAGUCCACGCCGUAAACGAUGAGUGCUAAGUGUUGGGGGGUUUCCGCCCCUCAGUGCUGCAGCUAACGCAUUAAGCACUCCGCCUGGGGAGUACGGCCGCAAGGCUGAAACUCAAAGGAAUUGACGGGGGCCCGCACAAGCGGUGGAGCAUGUGGUUUAAUUCGAAGCAACGCGAAGAACCUUACCAGGUCUUGACAUCCCGCUGACCGCCCUGGAGACAGGGCUUCCCCUUCGGGGGCAGCGGUGACAGGUGGUGCAUGGUUGUCGUCAGCUCGUGUCGUGAGAUGUUGGGUUAAGUCCCGCAACGAG
Molecule: ribosomal RNA, 706 nt
Filed under: Bacillus sp. QJGY15
Lineage: Bacteria; Bacillati; Bacillota; Bacilli; Caryophanales; Bacillaceae
Description: bacterial SSU rRNA
Rfam family: Bacterial small subunit ribosomal RNA
Source: RNAcentral